RNAcentral lists this ribosomal RNA (476 nucleotides) under uncultured bacterium. RNAcentral describes it as "bacterial SSU rRNA". It matches the Rfam family "Bacterial small subunit ribosomal RNA", at positions 38 to 507 of the family's 1533-position model. The record is from RNAcentral.
GGCGGCAUGCCUUACACAUGCAAGUCGAACGGCAGCACGGGUGCUUGCACCUGGUGGCGAGUGGCGAACGGGUGAGUAAUAUAUCGGGAACGUACCUUAUCGUGGGGGAUAACGCAGCGAAAGCUGCGCUAAUACCGCAUACGCCCUGAGGGGAAAGCGGGGGACCGUAAGGCCUCGCGCGAUUAGAGCGGCCGAUAUCUGAUUAGCUUGUUGGUGGGGUAAAAGCCCACCAAGGCGGCGAUCAGUAGCUGGUCUGAGAGGACGAUCAGCCACACUGGGACUGAGACACGGCCCAGACUCCUACGGGAGGCAGCAGUGGGGAAUUUUGGACAAUGGGCGAAAGCCUGAUCCAGCCAUGCCGCGUGAGUGAAGAAGGCCUUCGGGUUGUAAAGCUCUUUCGGCUGGGAAGAAAUCGCACAGGCUAAUACUCUGUGUGGAUGACGGUACCAGCACAAGAAGCACCGGCUAACUACGUG